RNAcentral lists this non-coding RNA (805 nucleotides) under Rhopalopsole subnigra. The record is from RNAcentral. Lineage: Eukaryota; Metazoa; Arthropoda; Insecta; Plecoptera; Leuctridae.
AAAAAGUUUUAUUCUUGCUUAAAAACUUGUUUUAAGUAUAUUUUACAUGUAAUUGAUUUAGUGUUAAGUGUAGAACCUUAAAGGUCUAUAGAUUAGAGUUAUUCGCAGUAUUUAAUAUUAAAUAUUAGAGUAAUCUAGAUUUAGAAAUAUUUAAUAAUACCGGCAAAAAUCGUGCCAGCAGCCGCGGUUACACGGAGGGUGUAAAUGAGUUUUAUUAGUGUAUAAUUAUAAAAAAGAUUAAAUAGUAUGGAAAAUUAAAUUAGUUUUUUAGGGUGAAAUUUUUGAAGCUAAAUUAUUUUUGUGUAGAGUUAUUAGAAGUUAUGAAAUUUAUGUUUUAAACUAGGAUUAGAUACCCUAUUAUAUUAAAUGUGAAGAUGUUAGACACUUGAGUAGUAAUAGUUAUGGUCUUCAAACUUAAAGAAUUUGGCGGUGUUUUAGUCUAUUCAGAGGAACCUGUCCCGUAAUUGAUAGUCCACGUAGAAUCUUACUUAAGUAUGUUUUCAGUUUGUAUACCGCCGUCAUCAGAAUGUCUUUUGAAAGUUAAAAUUUUCUUAAAUUUUUAUUAAAAAUGAUGUCAGGUCAAGGUGCAGCCAAUGCUUAAAGUGGUGAUGGGUUACAAUAAAGGUAUUUAAAUGGAUUUUUAUUUGAAAAAAUAGUAUGAAGGUGGAUUUGAUGGUAAAAUUAUUAAUGAAGUUAAUUUGAUUUUAGCUCUAAAACAUGCACACAUCGCCCGUCGCUCUCAUUUUUAUUAAGAUGAGAUAAGUCGUAACAUAGUAGGUGUACCGGAAGGUGCCCCUGGAAAGUA